RNAcentral lists this ribosomal RNA (460 nucleotides) under uncultured bacterium. Its description in RNAcentral is "partial 16S ribosomal RNA". It matches the Rfam family "Bacterial small subunit ribosomal RNA", at positions 338 to 795 of the family's 1533-position model. The record is from RNAcentral.
CCUACGGGUGGCAGCAGUGAGGAAUAUUGGUCAAUGGCCGGAAGGCUGAACCAGCCAUGCCGCGUGAAGGUCAGUGCCCUAUGGGCGUUAAACUUCUUUUGUGCGGGAGCAAUAAUGGUCACGUGUGGCACGAAGAGAGUACCGUACGAAUAAGCAUCGGCUAACUCCGUGCCAGCAGCCGCGGUAAUACGGGGGAUGCAAGCGUUAUCCGGGUUUUUAGGGUUUAAAGGGUGCGUAGGGUGGGAGGUAAGUCAGCGGUGAAAUGCCCCCGCUCAACGGGGUGAAGUGCCAUUGAUACUGCCGUGCUGGAAUGCGGAUGCGGUGGGAAGAAUGUGUGGUGUAGCGGUGAAAUGCAUAGAUAUCACACAGAACACCGAUUGCGAAGGCAUCUCACGAAUCCGCGAUUGACGCUGAUGCACGAAAGCGUGGGUAUCAAACAGGAUUAGAUACCCUAGUAGUC